CUACGUGCCAGCAGCCGCGGUAAUACGGAAGGUCCAGGCGUUAUCCGGAUUUAUUGGGUUUAAAGGGAGCGUAGGCUGGAGAUUAAGUGUGUUGUGAAAUGUAGACGCUCAACGUCUGAAUUGCAGCGCAUACUGGUUUCCUUGAGUACGCACAACGUUGGCGGAAUUCGUCGUGUAGCGGUGAAAUGCUUAGAUAUGACGAAGAACUCCGAUUGCGAAGGCAGCUGACGGGAGCGCAACUGACGCUUAAGCUCGAAGGUGCGGGUAUCAAACAGGAUUAGAUACCCUGGUAGUCCGCACAGUAAACGAUGGAUGCCCGCUGUUGGUACCUGGUAUCAGCGGCUAAGCGAAAGCAUUAAGCAUCCCACCUGGGGAGUACGCCGGCAACGGUGAAACUCAAAGGAAUUGACGGGGGCCCGCACAAGCGGAGGAACAUGUGGUUU
RNAcentral lists this ribosomal RNA (443 nucleotides) under uncultured bacterium. Its description in RNAcentral is "bacterial SSU rRNA". It matches the Rfam family "Bacterial small subunit ribosomal RNA", at positions 501 to 947 of the family's 1533-position model. The record is from RNAcentral.